Selaginella moellendorffii is the source of this 969-nucleotide long non-coding RNA. RefSeq lists it as uncharacterized. The transcript is spliced from 6 exons. NCBI's taxonomy places the organism in Eukaryota, Viridiplantae, Streptophyta, Lycopodiopsida, Selaginellales, Selaginellaceae. The record is from RefSeq and is a predicted model, not a curated record.
CAACAACACCAGAAACGCCGGUUUUGCUGCUGCCGAAGAUUGUAAGCUGCCAUCGCUUUGGUGUCUUGGUCCCGUCCCUGGGGUUUGUUCUCAUCAAGGCAGUCACUUGGGGCAUGCUGCUCCUGCUACUGCAUCCAUCACCUCGACAGCAAAGAGCGUGUGUACCAAAUAUUCGCCGCCUGACACAUUUUAAAGGUCUGUGCAAUUCAGCAUGCUCUAUAGACUCUUACUCACAACUCACACGCAUAUAUAUAUUUUUUUCCCUUCUUCUCGGCUUUGCUCUCCAGGCUAUGGCAUCGCAGAGCUUGCAGCGCACUCCGGAAACGGGCACGGCAGUGUAGGCGGAUUCUUUCGAGUUUAAAAAGAAGCUGCGACCAUGCAACAAACGCUCUGAGACACUGGAGCUGGAAACAAGCCAGAAACCGUGCUGCUGCUCGGCUGGGGCCACAAAAAGAACUGCUCUUGGUAGUGAAUUCAUUCACCUUCACAAGGAUUUCAAAGAAAUAAUGCUCCAACAAGUCUCUCCCUCUACAGUGGGCGAAAACUCGGCGGCAGAAAAGUCUGAUGAGAUUUCUUCACGGAGGAAUAAAAUAAGGAAAAGGUAGCACUCGAUCCCUGCAGAGGAAAAAUCCUCGGUGUGGCCAAAAAGAGGGGUCAUGCGGCGACGAGAGUGACGAGAUCCGAACCAGUCAAGGUGACUGAUUGAUUUUUGAGGAGCUCGAGAUCACCCCACCCAUACUCUCAGGACUAAACAAAGGCUUGAUCCAACGCUAAGGAAAGCUGGAGAAUCAGGAUGGAUCUCUGGGGAUCUACGAUACGCGUAAACAAUCUCGGGUCCAGCCAUGCUUGAAAGAAGAAAUAAAGGGGAGUAAAGGCAUGAGCUUUUUGCUCGCUCGCUGGCCACUUUCUUUCACAGCGUUGUAUUUUAACCUCCUUUGUUGAUCUUGACGCUGGAGGCUUUGGUGGGUG